UGCAAGUCGAGCGGACAGAAUGGGAGCUUGCUCCCUGAUGUUAGCGGCGGACGGGUGAGUAACACGUGGGUAACCUGCCUGUAAGACUGGGAUAACUCCGGGAAACCGGGGCUAAUACCGGAUGGUUGUUUGAACCGCAUGGUUCAAACAUAAAAGGUGGCUUCGGCUACCACUUACAGAUGGACCCGCGGCGCAUUAGCUAGUUGGUGAGGUAACGGCUCACCAAGGCGACGAUGCGUAGCCGACCUGAGAGGGUGAUCGGCCACACUGGGACUGAGACACGGCCCAGACUCCUACGGGAGGCAGCAGUAGGGAAUCUUCCGCAAUGGACGAAAGUCUGACGGAGCAACGCCGCGUGAGUGAUGAAGGUUUUCGGAUCGUAAAGCUCUGUUGUUAGGGAAGAACAAGUACCGUUCGAAUAGGGCGGUACCUUGACGGUACCUAACCAGAAAGCCACGGCUAACUACGUGCCAGCAGCCCGCGGUAAA
This 488-nucleotide ribosomal RNA is filed under the name activated sludge bacterium KA9. RNAcentral describes it as "bacterial SSU rRNA". It matches the Rfam family "Bacterial small subunit ribosomal RNA", at positions 56 to 524 of the family's 1533-position model. The record is from RNAcentral.